Molecule: non-coding RNA, 135 nt
Organism: Stachybotrys elegans
Lineage: Eukaryota; Fungi; Ascomycota; Sordariomycetes; Hypocreales; Stachybotryaceae
Source: the annotation of a GenBank genome assembly
GCCCUGGUAGCACAGUGGUAGUGGUACGUUUAUCGCCUAAGUUUCACUUAGAUGGCGCGACUAACAGAAUUCCAGCGUGUCACUCGUAUCGUUGAGGAAAUGACAAGGUCGUCUGUUCGAUCCAGGCCCCGGGCA